Molecule: non-coding RNA, 268 nt
Organism: Prunus avium (sweet cherry)
Lineage: Eukaryota; Viridiplantae; Streptophyta; Magnoliopsida; Rosales; Rosaceae
Source: RefSeq, a predicted model, not a curated record
CCCCUUUUCCUUUCGAUAUUCAUAUGAGUCUUAUGCUAUCAGUUAAAGAUAAUUGGCUCCUUAGGGGCAGAGUUUUCUGAGAACCACAGUCCAAUCCAGCAGUUGACAUUCAAUCUAUAAGUAGCACAGAGCCUCAGAUGCCUGCUGGUCAAUAUGUUCAGUCCUUUCGAGUGUUUGUAGCAACAUGGAAUGUAGGAGGGAAAUCUCCUCAUAAUGGCCUAAAUCUGGACGAUUUUCUUCAGGUUAACAAUGAAUCAGACAUAUAUGU